This 422-nucleotide ribosomal RNA is filed under the name uncultured Edaphobaculum sp. Its description in RNAcentral is "bacterial SSU rRNA". It matches the Rfam family "Bacterial small subunit ribosomal RNA", at positions 355 to 774 of the family's 1533-position model. Lineage: Bacteria; Pseudomonadati; Bacteroidota; Chitinophagia; Chitinophagales; Chitinophagaceae. The record is from RNAcentral.
UGAGGAAUAUUGGUCAAUGGACGCAAGUCUGAACCAGCCAUGCCGCGUGAAGGAUGAAGGCCUUCUGGGUUGUAAACUUCUUUUACUAGGGAAGAAACCUCCGAUUUCUAUUGGAGCCGACGGUACCUAGGGAAUAAGCACCGGCUAACUCCGUGCCAGCAGCCGCGGUAAUACGGAGGGUGCAAGCGUUAUCCGGAUUCACUGGGUUUAAAGGGUGUGUAGGCGGGCGUUUAAGUCAGUGGUGAAAUCUCCAGGCUCAACCUGGAAACUGCCAUUGAUACUAUUCGUCUUGAAUAUCGUUGAGGUAGGCGGAAUAUAUCAUGUAGCGGUGAAAUGCUUAGAUAUGAUAUAGAACACCGAUUGCGAAGGCAGCUUACUAAACGAUCAUUGACGCUGAGGCACGAAAGCGUGGGGAUCAAACA